ACAUCAGUGGUGUAAUGGUAACAUAAGCGCCUUCCAAGCACUUGCCCAGGGUUCGAUUCCCUGUUGAUGUA
RNAcentral lists this transfer RNA (71 nucleotides) under Kwoniella bestiolae CBS 10118. Its description in RNAcentral is "tRNA-Gly (TCC) (tRNA-Gly-TCC-1-1)". It matches the Rfam family "tRNA". Rfam says of the family: Transfer RNA (tRNA) molecules are approximately 80 nucleotides in length. Lineage: Eukaryota; Fungi; Basidiomycota; Tremellomycetes; Tremellales; Cryptococcaceae. The record is from RNAcentral.